Molecule: ribosomal RNA, 548 nt
Filed under: uncultured bacterium
Lineage: Bacteria
Description: bacterial SSU rRNA
Rfam family: Bacterial small subunit ribosomal RNA
Source: RNAcentral
GGACAACAUUUGGAAACAGAUGCUAAUACCGCAUAACAGCGUUGUUCGCAUGAACAACGCUUAAAAGAUCCCUUCUCGCUAUCACUUCUGGAUGGACCUGCGGUGCAUUAGCUUGUUGGUGGGGUAACGGCCUACCAAGGCGAUGAUGCAUAGCCGAGUUGAGAGACUGAUCGGCCACAAUGGGACUGAGACACGGCCCAUACUCCUACGGGAGGCAGCAGUAGGGAAUCUUCCACAAUGGGCGCAAGCCUGAUGGAGCAACACCGCGUGAGUGAAGAAGGGUUUCGGCUCGUAAAGCUCUGUUGUUAAAUAUUAACACGUAUGAGAGUAACUGUUCAUACGUUGACGGUAUUUAACCAGAAAGUCACGGCUAACUACGUGCCAGCAGCCGCGGUAAUACGUAGGUGGCAAGCGUUAUCCGGAUUUAUUGGGCGUAAAGAGAGUGCAGGCGGUUUUCUAAGUCUGAUGUGAAAGCCUUCGGCUUAACCGGAGAAGUGCAUCGGAAACUGGAUAACUUGAGUGCAGAAGAGGGUAUUGGAACUCCAUGU